AGUGAACGCUGGCGGUAGGCCUAACACAUGCAAGUCGAACGGCAGCACAGUAAGAGCUUGCCCUUACGGGUGGCGAGUGGCGGACGGGUGAGGAAUACAUCGGAAUCUACUUUUUCGUGGGGGAUAACGUAGGGAAACUUACGCUAAUACCGCAUACGACCUACGGGUGAAAGCAGGGGAUCUUCGGACCUUGCGCGAUUGAAUGAGCCGAUGUCGGAUUAGCUAGUUGGCGGGGUAAAGGCCCACCAAGGCGACGAUCCGUAGCUGGCCUGAGAGGAUGAUCAGCCACACUGGAACUGAGACACGGUCCAGACUCCUACGGGAGGCAGCAGUGGGGAAUAUUGGACAAUGGGCGCAAGCCUGAUCCAGCCAUACCGCGUGGGUGAAGAAGGCCUUCGGGUUGUAAAGCCCUUUUGUUGGGAAAGAAAAGCAGCAGGUUAAUACCCCGCUGUUCUGACGGUACCCAAAGAAUAAGCACCGGCUAACUUCGUG
This 492-nucleotide ribosomal RNA is filed under the name uncultured bacterium. RNAcentral's name for it is "partial 16S ribosomal RNA". It matches the Rfam family "Bacterial small subunit ribosomal RNA", at positions 29 to 507 of the family's 1533-position model. The record is from RNAcentral.